Candoia aspera is the source of this 282-nucleotide long non-coding RNA. RefSeq lists it as uncharacterized. NCBI's taxonomy places the organism in Eukaryota, Metazoa, Chordata, Lepidosauria, Squamata, Candoiidae. The transcript has 3 exons. The record is from RefSeq and is a predicted model, not a curated record.
ACAGUGAUGGAAGAGUUGAACUCUCACAUCCAGCAAUUGAAUGAAACCCCCUUUGAUUCAACUUCUUUGAAACCUGUUGAUGGCUGAUUAAGCAUGCUGAGAAACAUGCCAUCAUAAUUGGAAGCAUGGAAACAUUGCUCUAGCUCAAAUAUGGACAACUGCUCUAAAGCAGAUCUUCAAAAUACAGUGUACUCAAAGCUUCCAUCCAUUGAAUUCACUGUUCUGUUUUGCUGUUUUAAUACUGAAUGUUUAUUAGCUGAAAAUGUUUGUUUAAUAAAACUG